RNAcentral lists this ribosomal RNA (402 nucleotides) under uncultured bacterium. Its description in RNAcentral is "bacterial SSU rRNA". It matches the Rfam family "Bacterial small subunit ribosomal RNA", at positions 355 to 774 of the family's 1533-position model. The record is from RNAcentral.
UGGGGAAUAUUGCACAAUGGGGGAAACCCUGAUGCAGCAACGCCGCGUGAGUGAUGACGGCCUUCGGGUUGUAAAGCUCUGUCUUCAGGGACGAUAAUGACGGUACCUGAGGAGGAAGCCACGGCUAACUACGUGCCAGCAGCCGCGGUAAUACGUAGGUGGCAAGCGUUGUUCGGAUUUACUGGGUGUAAAGGGCGCGCAGGCGGGAUAAAAAGUCAAUGGUGAAAUCCGACAGCUUAACUGUAGAACUGCCUUUGAUACUUUUAUUCUUGAGUUCGGGAGAGNGAGACGGAAUUCCAGGUGUAGUGGUGAAAUACGUAGAUAUCUGGAAGAACACCAGUUGCGAAGGCGGUCUCUUGGUCCGACACUGACGCUGAGGCGCGAAAGCGUGAGGAGCAAACA